AGUCGCACUCCGAGAAAGGACGCAGAACACUCCCGAGUGACUGCACACUUUUUGGUGCUGCAUUUUUUUAUUAUUAUCUUUUAACAAUUAUUUGUAUUAGUUUUUUUGUGUGCAACUCUGAAGGUUGGACUUGAGCUCUUUAUUUUUAAUUGUAUUUUUGGAAGUGAGGAGUAGACUGAUCCUGAUGCGCAAGAGCAUGCACAUGCCGACAUCAGCAAAAAAGUUGGCAUCUGAAGGCAAAAGGCCGGCAAGGGAGAGGAUGAAGGGCUCGCUGCAGAUGGAAACACGCGUGGGCGGUAGCAAGGAGGGAUGACUGAACUCCGAGACCCCCAGUGCAGAUCCUCAUCGUGAUCAUCAUGGCCAGGGGCUUCUUGUCUUCCUCCGCCUGUGGUCCACACUUCCACCCAGAGGUCCGAGCUGGGCGAGUGGGCAGAGGAGGGAUGGAGAAGCUCCCUGAAGGCGAGAAGCAGGAGAAAUCAAUACCAAACACGCUCGCCUUGAAGUGGGGCUUUCCUCUGGUUCUCUGUGGCCUGGGGGCACGCAGGCCUCCAAAGGACGGGCCCUCUCAACUGGACCGGACCCCCUUUCUCCACUUGUGUGGUUUUGCUGAAGGGGAUCCCCCAUCACUUCCCACCCCAGCACCCUGAAAGCUGAGACACAGCCAAAAGGGAUUUUUUUUCCAGUUGCAACAGAUUGACUUAUUCUCCACCUUCUUUCUUAGGACUUUUGACUCGUUUCAACAGUACAGCCUGAACAAAUGUCUUUUGCAAACCAGAAAAUCUUUUUCCCCCUCCUCCCAGAAAGAAAAUGGACUGAACAGCAAAGAAAACAAUAUAAUCAUUUGGGACUCUUGCUUGGAAUGGAUCAUCAAUUAAUAUAUCAAUAGAUUUGACUAUUGAUCGUCUUGGAAAAACACUUCUAGUAACUAAUAGUCAAUGUCAAUUUUCUGUUAUUUUUUGUUUUGUUUUCUGCGGUUGUUAUGAAACACAACAUGUACAGGUAUGUGUGUGUACAGUUAUUAAACAUAAUGUGUGUGUACAGUUAUUAAACACAUGUACAGGUAUGUGUACAGAUAUUCAACACAACAUGUAUGUGUACAGUUAUUAAACAUAACGUGUGUACAGUUAUUAAACACAACAUGUACAGGUAUGUGUACAGUUAUUAAACACAUGUACAGGUAUGUGUACAGUUAUUCAACACAACAUGUAUGUGUACAGUUAUUAAACACAACAUGUAUGUGUACAGUUAUUAAACGUGUGUGUACAGUUAUUAAAUAUAACAUGUGUGUGUACAGUUAUUAAACAACAUGUGUGUGUACAGUUUUUAAAAUGUGUGUACAAUCAUUAAACAACAUGUAUGUGUACAGUUAUUAAACAUAACAUGUAUGUGUAGUUAUUAAAUACAUAAUGUGUGUGUACAAUUAAACAUAACGUGUGUGUACAGUUAUUAAACAUAACAUGUAUGUGUACAGUUAUUAAACAUGUAUGUGUACAGUUAGAAUGUGUAGAUAUUAAACACGUGUGUGUACAAUUAAACAUAACAUGUGUGUGUACAGUUAUUAAACACAACAGGUGU
Entelurus aequoreus (snake pipefish) is the source of this 1575-nucleotide long non-coding RNA. RefSeq lists it as uncharacterized. NCBI's taxonomy places the organism in Eukaryota, Metazoa, Chordata, Actinopteri, Syngnathiformes, Syngnathidae. The record is from RefSeq and is a predicted model, not a curated record. The transcript is spliced from 4 exons.